UUUACUGGGAGUUGUUCACCACCAUAACCAGUCAGUCUGCGCAUGGUGGGCUGUAGCUCCCCACUCAGAUGUCAAGCUGCGGUAUUUAUUCAGAGGAAUAAUGUUUACUUGUGCACCAGUGUCUAGUUUGAACUUUAGCUUUGUGCCUUGUGUUCCUAUCUCAAUGUCAGCAAAGGCUUGCUCUGUCUCUGAUAUGUGACUUUUCUGUGUCACUGAAUCAAUAAACAGUUCAUCAUCAUUUGACUCUUUGAUUGACAUUUCAUCUUCACUCACUGUGUGUACUGUUUUUCCACGGUAAGCUCUGCACACUUUUGCAAAGUGGUUCCAUUUACCACAUUUAGUACACUGUUUGCCUUUAGCUGGGCCAUUUCCUUGUUCGCCAUGCACUUUGUAUCCACAAUAUCCACAUGUUUUGGGGCGUUUUGAGUCUGUGUCGCUCUGUUUUGGAGUUAUGUCUCUCUCCGUUCUGAAACGCUCUCUCUGGGCACCGGAGGUGUGCUUUGAUGUCUGCCUGACUGCGUGCACUGCUUGUUCACGUGAUGCGCUCGUGCUGCGGCGCGAAAUGGUUUUCAUCUGAGCCUGUGCUAGCUCGUGAGAUCUGGCUAUGUCGAUAGCUUUGUCCAGCGUUAGCUCAGACCCAACAUUCAAAAGUUUCUCUCUCACUCGCGGUGAGUGUAUUCCAAAUACAAUACGGUCCCUGACCAUCUCAUCCUUGUUUGCAUAAUCACAGUCUUUCACAAGCAGACGCAGCUCAGUCACAAACUGUUCAAAAGACUCGCUAGCUCCCUGUACUUUCUCAUGGAAUUUGUACCUAUCGAAAAUUGUAUUAGUCUUCGGCACAACAUAUGCUUCAAAACGAUCGUAUUAUGUUUUCAGUACCUUUGAUUCAGCCUCGGGGACCCGUGAACAUUAGCUCCACAUGCUGUUUGUACUUACGCCAUGCAUCGGCCUAUCUCCAACCACGAUCAACUGCCCACGACCCAACCGUCUGGGUGGUCCCAACCAAUCACCGCACAGUAUGACACGGCGGUAAAAUGCAUCCAACUAUAACUCAGCAUGUAUUCACAUAUGAAUAUUACAAAUACCACAAUAUUGUUUUGUAACUUGACUGUUGAAGUGAAUGUAAUGGUUUUGAACAAUAUAGUAAUUGUAUAAGUUCGUACUAGACAGAAAACGCAUGUCUAGUGUAAAAUGAAAUGAUGGCGGUGCAUUUGUUCUAGAAAACAACGAACUCCUGAAAAUGUUUUUUUUUUAAAGUCACUCCUGACAAUAUCCUAAGGGUUUAGAGAAUUUAAUGUUGUAACUGUGAUGUUUAAGAACUUUGUAAUUGUUGUACUCUAAAUGUUAGAAAAGCGGUUAGCAUUUGGCUAGCUGCGGUUAGCUUUUGGCUAGCUCCGGUCAGUUGGUUGCUAGCUUCGGUUAGCGCUAUGCUAGCUUGUUCAAACAUUUUCCAAUAAUUAGCAUUCAUGUCAGUUGAAAUAGUCUUGUCUUUCUAUUAGCUCUUACACUGGGUGAAUGUAUCUUUUAGCAUGGGUAUAAAGUAAACUUAUAUUGAGUUAUAUCAGUCUUUAAAGGCUUUCAUGUUUUAGAGUCUCCUAUGGGGCUCUAGGGGGCAACAGUCAACUAACGUUGCAUAAUUAUAACCUAAACAGGUGAAUUAAAGUUAAGAGUAAAUGUGUUUGGGGUAUAAAUGUAAAGAAUUUGAGGACUUGGAUUGGAAUGUAAUAUUUUUUAUGUCUACAUUGAUGUAUGUUUGAUAUGUGUAUGAACUAAUGUCAGGGAUUUAUGAGAGAUUAUUAAAUACACUUUAAAGAAAACAAAAUAAAAAAUUGCAAUACGAUGAAAAGACACAUGACAGAAUGUUGAAUAAAAUAAUUGAGAGAACCUUUGAAAGAGAAGCCACGUUUUCCUGUUUCAUAAUUUAUCCUGUGUUACAAGAACUAUUUUCUGCUUCACCUGUCCCAAAACAGGGACCUGUAACAAUAGCAAAGACUAACAAGAGGAUCUGAAACUAUGACUAAUAAAAUCAGUCAACAUGUUUUGAGUAAUAGCUAGUUUAUUGGAUUAAAUCAGAGCUAAGUGAUUGAUCGAAACAUGCAUUCCUCUCUUAACACGAAAUUCAACUUGAAAUUUUGCCGGGCAUGCUAGCUGCCUAUAGCUUUCAUGAUAGCCUGCAGAGAGAAAAUGUCCUUUUGUUGCAUACUAUCGAUAGCUACGAAGUGUCAUCGACAGUACAUAGUCCUUACUUCUAGUAAGCAUUUAGUAAAUAAUAUAAAUUAAUGACACUACUACACUAUGCUCAGCAGCUGGCUAGCCCUGCAGCUCGUGCUAGCUAGUCCAUAAACAAAACAAAAAAAUGCUCUGCCUCUUCUUUUUUUUAAAGGUUUUAUUGCGGACUACAUCCAAAAAGGUGUAUUGCCGCCACCUACUGGGUAGGGUAAAACUGAGAUACUUUAACCCAAAAAAUAUGUUAAUAAUUAAAAUGAAACAAAAGUCAAUGUACUCCUUCACUUGGUCAAAUGUACUCAGAUCCCUACUCAGGCUUUGGGGCCUGAGAGGGGGAACAUCUUCAGACAGUUUUCCCUACAAAGUUUCUGCUGUGAAAUCCAGGAUAUCCCAGAACCUUUUAGCCGCUUUCACAAUUUCCAAUUUCUUAGAUGUUUUGUUCGUUUGUCCUGUACAAUUAAUCACUUGCACAAUAAACAAAACAAAAUCAACCUUCACGAUUAGUAUUUCAGGAUCUCUCAACUGACUGACAUCCACAGACUGUUGGACAUCAUCCACUGCCAUAGCUUCAUCUCUACUCGCUGCUUUGAUAAUUUUCACAGCUUCUGCAUAGGACACCUCAACAGCCCUGAUCGUUCCUACUUUGACAUCCUCCACCCUAACAGGGCACUACGGGAACUCUGGAACAAUUGCAACACUGUGCAUCCUCACUGAUUCAACAAUGAUAUUCCGUUUUCAAACACAUGGCCAAACGUUUUACAUUGAAGUGGCUUUUGUACAUAAGCUCGCACCACAUAUCUUAUAUAUCCCAGCUUUACACAGGUCAGGAAAACUUUUUCAUGAAACAUCAAUAACAGUCUUUCCCCCUUCUUUCCAUUCACAGUGUGGGUUAAGCGACGUGAAUCAACUAUUCUUGACAUGUUCAUCUUAAACUAUGAAGCCUCCAUAUCCAUCGAGACGCUGGAUAUGAUACCGGUACCCUACUUCGAUAAUCAUAACAUUCCACUUCAUGCUUCGAUAAUUUGUGCUUUCUCCUUUUGUUCUUUUGACACGUGAAAUCAACAUCAUAACACUCCUGGUCAUUCUGACUGACUCCACUUCUUGUGACCGCAAACGUGUUUCCCCCAAAAAACAUCCUUUCUCAUGAAUUGCACUCCAACAAGGAAUGGGGCAUUAUCAUUCCGAGGCUUAUCUUGAUUUACAACUGUAGCCCUUUUACAAUAGCUCCAUUCUUAUGUUCCAGUAUUCCACUCAUUUCCUCUAUCUUCACUAGGGCCAACAGAAUCAAGGAUUACUUCUGCCAUUGCUCUCCCACCUCCCUGGCUGAUUUCCGUGCACUAUCAAAAACGCCGUUUUGAAAUUACCACCGAGCUAUAGGAAAUUACAAUUACUAUUAGCCCUGUGACACAUGUGCUCAAAGAACCCCUCUCUGCAUUUUAGAAACUGCCUGAAUAAAAUAGAAGUUAAUGAGCAGCAGUUAAAGAAUGCUGCGUCCAAAGAUCUGAUGAAAAACUGUUU
Molecule: long non-coding RNA, 3744 nt
Filed under: Salmo salar (Atlantic salmon)
Lineage: Eukaryota; Metazoa; Chordata; Actinopteri; Salmoniformes; Salmonidae
Description: lncRNA (ENSSSAG00000101953.1)
Source: RNAcentral